This 253-nucleotide ribosomal RNA is filed under the name uncultured bacterium. Its description in RNAcentral is "partial 16S ribosomal RNA". It matches the Rfam family "Bacterial small subunit ribosomal RNA", at positions 524 to 776 of the family's 1533-position model. The record is from RNAcentral.
UACGAAGGACCCGAGCGUUAUCCGGAUUUAUUGGGUUUAAAGGGUGCGUAGGCGGACUUAUAAGUCAGUGGUGAAAUCCCUCAGCUUAACUGAGGAACUGCCAUUGAAACUAUUUGUCUUGAGUACAUUUGAGGCGGGCGGAAUGUGUCAUGUAGAGGUGAAAUUCUUAGAUAUGACACAGAACACCAAUUGCGAAGGCAGCUCGCUAAACUGUAACUGACGCUGAGGCACGAAAGCGUGGGUAGCAAACAGG